UUCUGCUCUAAUAAGGUUUGGGCCUGGCUUGGUUAGAGGCCUAAGAUCAGUCCACUUGAGGUCCUAUGAUCCCCUCUCAGCCACUUACCUCUUUCAUUCUGUUUAUUUUCGCAAGAUAGUCCCCUCUCUUACUCCCUCUCUUUUCUCUAUCAGAGAGUUCUGUUAGGGUUUGAUCCAGAUUCUUCUCGGAGUUAGCAUAAUGUCAUUCCUCCAUCUUCUGAAGCUACUGUUGUACUGUGGUGAGCCUUGUUAGAGCUUUUUUGCGAUGCAGUUCUCUUUUUUCAAGUGAUCAGAUGGGGGAAUACCUAAAGAUAGAUCGGUAGGUGGUGACGCUGCUGUGUAGUUUGGAAAUGUUAGCUAUGGCUCUUAUGAGCAGCCUUAAGGCACCAAUGCCUUUGUAAUUUCAUUGCUCUAAGAGCAGUCUUUUGCAAAACUAUUGCACUUAGUGUUCUUGUUCAUGGCAUUGUGUAGUGCCUUUGCUUUUCUUUUCGGUAUACUUGGAUGAUUGUAAAAUCCUUUAUACUAUAUGGCUUGUGCUCUACUUUUACUAUAAUUA
This is a long non-coding RNA of Vigna unguiculata (cowpea), 556 nucleotides long. RefSeq lists it as uncharacterized. NCBI's taxonomy places the organism in Eukaryota, Viridiplantae, Streptophyta, Magnoliopsida, Fabales, Fabaceae. The record is from RefSeq and is a predicted model, not a curated record.